Molecule: long non-coding RNA, 1079 nt
Filed under: Anser brachyrhynchus (Pink-footed goose)
Lineage: Eukaryota; Metazoa; Chordata; Aves; Anseriformes; Anatidae
Description: lncRNA (ENSABRG00000006012.1)
Source: RNAcentral
UAAAAAGAGAAAUUUGUGUGAAUGGAUUGCAAGUAUGACAUUCAUACAGUGCUGUUCAGAGUAAACUUCAGGAUGCCAGGAUACACAGAGAAGCUACUGAUGAAGUCCAUGACCAGGCUGAGGACCUAGGAAUGGGUACUACCCACAGGAACUAAUACGGAAAGGAGAAGAGUGGGAUUAAGCAUUCUGGUAAGUGUAGGUGAUAGUGGACAUCAGGGAAACAAGCUGAGAUCUUAGUGGAGAAGAGAGGAGGAAGAGACUUCCAAACAUGCUCUGUAGGAACUGUUGGGGACUGGAAGAAGAUCCAAGGGAAGACAGGCACUAAAACCAGAGGAAGACAAGGUUUUCCAAAGAACACGAUCAAUGAUGUCCAAGCAGACAAUGGGUCUGGAAGGAUAUUCCUGUGGCACAGAUACCAAGUCUCUCUGUGAGGGGUCGCUGAAAGUUUAGGAGAGAGAGCUUAAGGGAACCAUGUAAAAGAUGGAAGCCACCAUCACAAGACGCAACCAAAGUGGAAGCAGGAAAUUCCUGCCAAGGGAUAGAACAGGGGGAUGUAGCCAGAAGAGCUGGAUCCCUCUGCUAAACCAGGUUCCUGCUCAUGCUGAGGAAGAGGGCAAGAACAAGCACCAGGAUGCAGCUGGGAAGAGGAGACAACUUCUGCUAAUUGAUGGUGACCUCAUGGUAGAUUAGGCCAACCUAAAUACCCCCCUUUUGCAAGCAUGCCUCCCCAAAACUGCUCACCACACCAUUUCUGAUCCAUGGGAGGAGGAGAUGGAGACAGGGAGUGAAGGGGGAGGCUGGCACAUGGAUGUCCUGUACCCUAGAGCUGUGGUGGGUUAAACUGCUGUGGAAGUGUGCCUCUGUGUAAUCUGAGGGUUGCGCUCUGAUUUGCAAACAUGCAUGAUGGCAAAUCAUUAGCAAGAUGAGGAAGAGCUUUAUUCUGAGAUUUUUGCUUUUAUUUAUUUUGUGUGUGUCCAGCUCUGGUGUUUUGGGUGGGACGUAUUGUCUUUGAUGACAUUUCCAUGUGCAGAAGUGUAAAAAUGACCAAGUUUGCUUUCAUUAUAAUUAGAAAAAAUAUU